Sinocyclocheilus grahami is the source of this 361-nucleotide long non-coding RNA. RefSeq lists it as uncharacterized. The transcript has 3 exons. Lineage: Eukaryota; Metazoa; Chordata; Actinopteri; Cypriniformes; Cyprinidae. The record is from RefSeq and is a predicted model, not a curated record.
GGAACAUGUGUGGGCAUGCCAUGGACCUCAGAAAUUAAGAUGAUCACUCACGAAGCAGGUGAUGUUGAAUCCAUUUAUAAAGAGCAGCUCUUCAUCACACCAUGAGACCACUGACCAUCUUCUGCUGUGGAGACCAAGGUAACUUUCAGUAUCAUGGUUAGUGGACGGAUCAUCCUUAUUGCUGCUGGUUCUGCCCUGUCCUUCAUUCUCACAAGCUGUGAUGACUCACUUGACAGUCGCUCUUUGGAGAGUGCCACAAAAACACAGGAUGAGAACAAUUUGAUCAAGGCACUGCAAGAGGUUCUUGAGAAGUUAAAGAAUAAACAACUGCCACAAACCGGAAAAAAGUUUAGCCUACUUC